This 672-nucleotide long non-coding RNA is filed under the name Homo sapiens (human). The record is from RNAcentral. Lineage: Eukaryota; Metazoa; Chordata; Mammalia; Primates; Hominidae.
UAGGAAUAUCAGCAGCCACAGCACUCAGUCACCCAGGGGAAUCUACAUGUUUAAGCUUUCAUACCCUGUUCGGUUUCUUGUAGAACUCACUCAACACCUGGAGUGGAUUAAAUAGAUGAUGUAGAUUUCAACUGCUUAGAAAUAUCCAUUUCUGCCACAUUUCCUGCUGCCUGUUUUACUUCUGUGGAGUUAUUUAGUUGUCAUGUUGGAUGAGUCUGAGCUAUUUUCCCAGCACGCUGUACUAUAGUGUGAGUGCACCUUCUAGGGAAAAGGGCACAGACUGAACAACUUAUCAUCAGAAUCUGUGUUGACUGAAGGAAGGAUGGCAACAGAUUCCUGUCAGAUGAUUUUGCCUCAGACAAUUUGGCUGUGAAUGCUCAAAGAAUGAGGAAUAAGUACCCAGGGCAUAGAGCAUAAAGGUUCUUGUGACAUUGAGCUACAAGGAUUUGACUCCUGAGUCUCAAAAGGACACCAAGUACUGCCAAAUCUCAAACUCUGACAGCAAUUAAAGCCUCAUCUGCAGGCCCUGUAGAAGAUGCCAAUCAAAAUAAACUGUGUUCCUGAGACACAGGGGCAGAAAUUAAAGCUAUUCAACUCCUCAAGGCCAAGGGAUUAUCAUGGAAGAGGUGGGCAGGCGAGAAUGUAAAGGCCAAUUUUGAGAGAUAAAGUAAA